CGCGGCCUAUCAGCUUGUUGGCGAGGUAACGGCUCACCAAGGCAACGACGGGUAGCUGGUCUGAGAGGAUGGCCAGCCACAUUGGGACUGAGAUACGGCCCAGACUCCUACGGGAGGCAGCAGUGGGGAAUCUUGCGCAAUGGCCUAACGGCUGACGCAGCGACGCCGCGUGUGGGAUGAAGCUCUUCGGAGUGUAAACCACUGUUGCCCGGGACGAAUAGCUCGAUUAAUCGAGCCUGACAGUACCGGGUGAGGAAGCACCGGCUAACUCCGUGCCAGCAGCCGCGGUAAUACGGGGGGUGCGAGCGUUGUCCGGAAUCACUGGGCGUAAAGGGCGCGUAGGUGGUUUGAUAAGGGUGUGGUGAAAGUCCGGGGCUCAACCCCGGAUCUGCCGUGCCGACUGUCAAACUCGAGGACUGUAGAGGCAGACGGAAUUCCGGGUGUGGCGGUGGAAUGCGUAGAGAUCCGGAGGAAGACCGGUGGCGAAGGCGGUCUGCUGGGCAGUUUCUGACACUGAGGCGCGACAGCGUGGGGAGCAAACAGGAUUAGAUACCCUGGUAGUCCACGCCGUAAACGAUGGGUACUAGGUGCCUGGGGGAGCGACCCUCUGGGUGCCGGCGCUAACGCAGGAA
RNAcentral lists this ribosomal RNA (632 nucleotides) under uncultured bacterium. Its description in RNAcentral is "bacterial SSU rRNA". It matches the Rfam family "Bacterial small subunit ribosomal RNA", at positions 232 to 863 of the family's 1533-position model. The record is from RNAcentral.